UACGUAGGGACCAAGCGUUGUUCGGAUUUACUGGGCGUAAAGGGCGCGUAGGCGGUGCGGUAAGUCACUUGUGAAAUCUCUGAGCUUAACUCAGAACGGCCAAGUGAUACUGCAGUGCUAGAGUGCGGAAGGGGCAAUCGGAAUUCUUGGUGUAGCGGUGAAAUGCGUAGAUAUCAAGAGGAACACCUGAGGUGAAGACGGGUUGCUGGGCCGACACUGACGCUGGAGCGCGAAAGCGUGGGGAGCAAACAGG
This 253-nucleotide ribosomal RNA is filed under the name uncultured bacterium. RNAcentral describes it as "partial 16S ribosomal RNA". It matches the Rfam family "Bacterial small subunit ribosomal RNA", at positions 524 to 776 of the family's 1533-position model. The record is from RNAcentral.